UACGUAGGGUGCGAGCGUUGUCCGGAAUUAUUGGGUCGUAAAGAGCUUGUAGGCGGUUUGUCGCGUCUGCUGUGAAAAUCCGGGGCUCAACCCCAGCAUUGCGUUGGAUACUGGCAGGCUUGACGGUUGGAGAGGCAAGUGGAAUUACCAGUGUAGCGGUGGAAUGCGUAGAUACUGGUAGGAACACCCAUUGCGAAGGCAGCUUGCUGGACAACACGUGACGCUGAGGCGCGAAAGUGUGGGGAGCAAACCGGAUUAGAUACCCCCGUA
RNAcentral lists this ribosomal RNA (270 nucleotides) under uncultured prokaryote. Its description in RNAcentral is "partial 16S ribosomal RNA". It matches the Rfam family "Bacterial small subunit ribosomal RNA", at positions 524 to 792 of the family's 1533-position model. The record is from RNAcentral.